Molecule: unclassified non-coding RNA, 306 nt
Filed under: plant metagenome
Description: partial contains 5.8S ribosomal RNA, internal transcribed spacer 2, and large subunit ribosomal RNA
Rfam family: 5.8S ribosomal RNA (bases 1-105)
Source: RNAcentral
GAAAUGCGAUAAGUAAUGUGAAUUGCAGAAUUCAGUGAAUCAUCGAAUCUUUGAACGCACAUUGCGCCCGCCAGUAUUCUGGCGGGCAUGCCUGUCCGAGCGUCAUUUCAACCAUCAAGCCCCCGGGCUUGCGUUGGGGACCUGCGGCUGCCCGCAGGCCCUGAAAACCAGUGGCGGGCUCGCUGUCACACCGAGCGUAGUAGCAAUCACCUCGCUCAGGGCGUGCUGCGGGUUCCGGCCGUUAAACAGCCUUACAAAACCCAAGGUUGACCUCGGAUCAGGUAGGAAGACCCGCUGAACUUAAGC